AUAUAAAGUUGGUAUUCGUUCGAUAAUUUGAUGAUAUCUAUGUUGUCACUUCUCUUAGUGGUGUCAUGUGAACGUCGACUAUAUGACACUUCACCAUCUUAUGGGCCUAAGGCAAUUCAUUGUGGAGUAACAAGUAGAUGAUGAGUUGCUAGAGUGACAAAAGCUGAAACCCCGCUUUAUGUGUUGCUUCAUGAGGCGUUGAUUCAGAUCCACACGUGUAAUGUUAUGGUUAGAUUUAUCUUAAUCUUCUUUCAUAGUUGGGGAUGCUUGCGAUAGAGGGUAAUCAUAAGUUGGUUGUUUGUUCAAGUAAGAACAACACCUUAGUACUGGUUCAUCCACAUAUCAAAUUAUCAAAGUAGGGAACACGAAUCAACUGGGUAUGAUGAAUAUGACUAGACUGAAAUUCACAUGUGUCUUCGAGAUUGGUUGGUUUAUAUAAGAGUACUUUUAGGCAUGUCCUUUGCUACAAAAAGGAUUGGUCUACCUUGCUGCACCUUUGCUACAAUUGUUACUUGUCACUUGUUAUGAAUUAUCUUGCUACGAAACUAUCUAUAACUCUUACUUACAACAAUUCUAGAGAAUACCUUGUUGAAAACCGCUUAUCAUGUCCUUCUGCUCCUUGUUGGGUUGGACACUCUUACUUAUUGUAAGGACUACGAUUAAUCCCCUACACUUGUGGGUUAUCAAAACACUUUUCUAGUGUCGUUUCCAGGGAAUGAGUCGCCUUUGGUAAGUGGAAUUUUGCAAGGAAACAUUUUCAGUACGCGCUGAAAUUUACUGUUGCUUGUCACUAUGAACGGUCACCCUUUGAG
Molecule: long non-coding RNA, 812 nt
Filed under: Hordeum vulgare
Lineage: Eukaryota; Viridiplantae; Streptophyta; Magnoliopsida; Poales; Poaceae
Description: long non-coding RNA (HVUL_LNC002248)
Source: RNAcentral